RNAcentral lists this ribosomal RNA (253 nucleotides) under uncultured bacterium. RNAcentral's name for it is "partial 16S ribosomal RNA". It matches the Rfam family "Bacterial small subunit ribosomal RNA", at positions 524 to 776 of the family's 1533-position model. The record is from RNAcentral.
UACAGAGGGUGCAAGCGUUGUUCGGAAUUAUUGGGCGUAAAGGGCGCGUAGGUGGCCAACUAAGUCAGACGUGAAAUCCCUCGGCUUAACCGGGGAACUGCGUCUGAUACUGGAUGGCUGGAGAUUGGGAGAGGGAUGCGGAAUUCCAGGUGUAGCGGUGAAAUGCGUAGAUAUCUGGAGGAACACCGGUGGCGAAGGCGGCAUCCUGGACCAACACUGACGCUGAGGAGCGAAAGCCAGGGGAGCAAACGGG